UGUAAUCCUGAGUUUCUAACAGCGUGAAGCAGCACUCUAGAAGGUACGCACCGUCUGAAUCAUAGUUGUAUAGCUAUGGUCUGGACGAUGUAACUGACGCCAUUUUAGCUCACACAGAGUUUUUAUCAUGUACUAAGUAAGCGGGAAUUUGGAUCCAACGUGGCAUUAAUUGUCCCCGACGCUUCGGAGCGACCGACCAGUGGCCGGUUGCUGUUCUGUGUAGGGUUAGUUCUGACAACAUGCAGUUGGACACACACCACUCAGGGGAUUUGAAACCAGUAAAUACAUUACUUUCACACUUAUAAUGCUUACUGCACAGUAUAUACGUGUGCGAGGGAUACAGCUUUAGUCUCGCAACUGUCGCAACUACUUGGCGUGCAUAUUUGACAGUAAUUGCACAGUGUUUACCUUUGCUUUACUGCACCGUGUCCUUUGUUCCAGACAUCUCACUGUGGAUUUGGAAUAUGAUCGGAAUUUUAGGGCAUUCCGUAAUUGGCUCUGUUACGCGUAAAGCCGGAUACAAUAUUUGUGUUGCUGGUUACCUGGAUACUGCACCCAUCUCCACACCGGGAAGAUAAGUGCCCGGCCGGUGUUGGCAGGGCUCGGCGUCCUGAUGCUGAGCACAGGGAGGAUGGAGUUUGAGACUGAGGAAGAGGAGCCGUGGUGUGACCAACCAGGAACAAGUACCUGUCCAAGCAGCUGGAGAUGCUGCGGGAGAUGAACGAGCAGCAUGCCAAGGUAUACGAGCAGUUGGAUGUGAGCACGUGUGGCCUGGAGCACACCAAUUUACAGGCUCGACCUGGAGAGCAAGGUGGCCCAGCAGAAAAGUGACUGGAUGACAGAGACCAUCGAGACCCUGCAGGGCCAGUUGGAGGCAUUGCAGGUGCAGGUGGAGGAGCUGCACAGCCUGGAGCAGAGUUUCAGGAGAGAGAAGAGGGAGAGGCGCAAGACCAUCCAGUCCUUUCCCUGCUUCAAGUUGCUGUGCUUAGAAUCCAGGUACAAACACCACCAUAUGCUCCAUCACAUACUCUGCACUGCCCUCCCACACACACACCACCACUGCCCUCACUCAGCAAACACUAACAAUACCCUCCCUUAGCACACACUACCACUGCCCUCCCUCAGCACACACCACCACUACCCUCCCUCAACACUUAUUAACACUGCCCUCCCUCAGCACACAACACCACCACUGCCCUCCCUCAACACACACUAACACUGCUCUCCCUCAGCACACACCACCACUACCCUCCCUCAACACACACUAACACUGCCAUCCCUCAGCACACACCACCACUACCUUCAUUCAGCAAACACUAACACUGCCCUCCCUCAGCACAAACUAACACUGCCAUCCCUCAGCACACACCUCCACUGCCCUCACUCAGCAAACAAUAACAAUUCCCUCCCUCAGCACACACUACCACUGCCGUCCCUCAGCACACAUCAGCACUGCCCUCCCUCAGCACACAUCAGCACUGCCCUCCCUCAGCACACACUAACACUGCCCUCCUUCAGCACUCACUAACACUGCCCUCCCUCAGCACACACCACCAUUACCCUCCCUCAACACACACUAACACUGCCCUCCCUCAGCACAAACCACCACUGCCCUCGCUCAGCAAACACUAUCAAUUCCCUUCCUCAGCACACACCGCCACUGCCCUCACUAAGCACACACUAACACUGCCCUCUAUGAGCACACAAUAACACUGGCCUCCCUCGGCACACACUAACACUGGCCUCCCUCAGCACACACCACCACUGCCUUCCCUCAGCACACACCCCACUACCCU
Long non-coding RNA from Polyodon spathula (Mississippi paddlefish), 1796 nucleotides. RefSeq lists it as uncharacterized. NCBI's taxonomy places the organism in Eukaryota, Metazoa, Chordata, Actinopteri, Acipenseriformes, Polyodontidae. The transcript has 3 exons. The record is from RefSeq and is a predicted model, not a curated record.